UUUCUUAACAGGAAAGUUUAUGAUAGUCAGCCAAAUGGUUGGACAAUUUUAGCAAACUCCAAUAUAUUGGACAAUCCUGUCGCGUUCGUGGCAUACUGCAAACUGAUUGCAAUAUUUUGAAACAUGCACCAGCAUAAAAUUUAUCCCGCAAAAUGGUUCCUAAGUCCCGAAGGUCCCCAGUUUACAGCGCCUCUUGGCUCUGCCUGUACGAUGUGGAAAAAAGAGUUUGCUAUAUUGUCCAACCAUUUGGCUGACUCAGUUCAUCAACUUUCCUGUGAAAAAA
Paramuricea clavata is the source of this 283-nucleotide non-coding RNA. The record is from the annotation of a GenBank genome assembly. NCBI's taxonomy places the organism in Eukaryota, Metazoa, Cnidaria, Anthozoa, Malacalcyonacea, Plexauridae.